CAACUCAUCUUGCAGGGGAAAUACCAUGGUCAUGAAAGUGGUUUUCCCAGGGUGAGGCUCAUUCAUUGCACUUCAGGUGUGCUGAUCCCUGUGAUUUUCCCAAAUGUGGGGAACUCAACUGCAUAAUUUGUCGUAAUGGGGGAUUGCAUUUGUGCUUUUCCUGG
Molecule: small nuclear RNA, 164 nt
Filed under: Pogona vitticeps (central bearded dragon)
Lineage: Eukaryota; Metazoa; Chordata; Lepidosauria; Squamata; Agamidae
Description: U1 spliceosomal RNA (ENSPVIG00000016770.1)
Rfam family: U1 spliceosomal RNA
About the family: U1 is a small nuclear RNA (snRNA) component of the spliceosome (involved in pre-mRNA splicing). Its 5' end forms complementary base pairs with the 5' splice junction, thus defining the 5' donor site of an intron.
Source: Rfam by way of RNAcentral